This 67-nucleotide non-coding RNA is filed under the name Acinetobacter junii. Lineage: Bacteria; Pseudomonadati; Pseudomonadota; Gammaproteobacteria; Moraxellales; Moraxellaceae. The record is from RNAcentral.
AAGCGAAACACGGGCAUCUGCCCGUGUCUGCCAAGCGUCGUGACUUGGUACUGACGAGCAGCGAUAA